CUACUUUCAUAGUUUCCUUACUUACUCGGUGAGGCGGAAGGCGUCCGUCGGAGUGUCUGCACUCCGACGCGACGGUAUUCUCGCACCAAGCGCCAAGGGUUGUCGGCGGCCGGUCGGUCGUGGGGAGGCCCGCGGUUGUCCGCUUCGGCGGCUCUGCCGUGCGUGUCGUCACCGCGCUCUUGGUCGCGCCGUCCGGCAACACACUCCCUAGCGUG
RNAcentral lists this ribosomal RNA (215 nucleotides) under Leptoglossus oppositus. RNAcentral's name for it is "partial large subunit ribosomal RNA". The record is from RNAcentral. Lineage: Eukaryota; Metazoa; Arthropoda; Insecta; Hemiptera; Coreidae.